Molecule: ribosomal RNA, 246 nt
Filed under: uncultured bacterium
Lineage: Bacteria
Description: partial 16S ribosomal RNA
Rfam family: Bacterial small subunit ribosomal RNA
Source: RNAcentral
UACGAAGGGGGCUAGCGUUGCUCGGAAUUACUGGGCGUAAAGGGCGCGUAGGCGGACAGUUAAGUCAGAGGUGAAAGCCCAGGGCUCAACCCUGGAAUUGCCUUUGAUACUGGCUGUCUUGAGUGCGGGAGAGGUGUGUGGAACUCCGAGUGUAGAGGUGAAAUUCGUAGAUAUUGGGAAGAACACCGGUGGCGAAGGCGGCGCUCUGGACCGAGACUGACGCUGAGGCGCGAAAGCGUGGGGAGC